This 1368-nucleotide ribosomal RNA is filed under the name uncultured bacterium. Its description in RNAcentral is "bacterial SSU rRNA". It matches the Rfam family "Bacterial small subunit ribosomal RNA", at positions 63 to 1398 of the family's 1533-position model. The record is from RNAcentral.
ACGGCAGCACAGAGAAGCCUCGCUUCUCGGGCGGCGUGCGGCGAACGGGUCGAGUAAACAUAACGGAGCGUCACCGAGUAGAUGGGGGAGAGACUAAUCGAAAGAUUAAGCUAAUAACCGCAUAAUACUCUGAGGAGGAAAGCAGGGGACCUUUCGGGCCUUGCGUUUAUUUCGAGCGGCCGAAUAUCUGAAUUAGCUAGUUGGUGGGGUAAAGGCCUACCAAGGCGAACGAUCAGUAGCGGGUCUGAGAGGAUGAACCGCCACACUGGGACUGAAGAACACGGCCCAGAACUCCUACGGGAGGCAGCAGUGGGGAAAUUUUUGGAACAAUGGGCGCAAGCCUGAUUCCAGCCAUGCCGCGUGUCUGAAAAAGGCCUUCGGGUUUGUAAAGGACUUUUGUCAGGGAAGAAAAAGGACAGGGUUAAUACCCCUGUCUGAAUGACGGUACCUGAAGAAUAAGCACCGGCUAACUACGUGCCAGCAGCCGCGGUAAUACGUAGGGUGCGAGCGUUAAUCGGAAUUACUGGGCGUAAAGCGAGCGCAGACGGUUACUUAAGCAGGAUGUGAAAUCCCCAGGCUCAACCUGGGAACUGCGUUCUGAACUGGGUGACUAGAGUGUGUCAGAGGGAGGUAGAAUUCCACGUGUAGCAGUGAAAUGCGUAGAGAUGUGGAGGAAUACCGAUGGCGAAGGCAGCCUCCUGGGAUAACACUGACGUUCAUGCUCGAAAGCGUGGGUAGCAAACAGGAUUAGAUACCCUGGUAGUCCACGCCCUAAACGAUGUCAAUUAGCUGUUGGGCAACUUGAUUGCUUAGUAGCGUAGCUAACGCGUGAAAUUGACCGCCUGGGGAGUACGGUCGCAAGAUUAAAACUCAAAGGAAUUGACGGGGACCCGCACAAGCGGUGGAUGAUGUGGAUUAAUUCGAUGCAACGCGAGGAACCUUACCUGGGUUUGACAUGCACCAGACGGUUGUAGAGAUACGUACCUCCCUUUGUGGUUGGUGUGCAGGUGGUGCAUGGUUGUCGUCAGCUCGUGUCGUGAGAUGUUGGGUUAAGUCCCGCAACGAGCGCAACCCUUGUCUUAUGUUGCCAGCACUUUGGGUGGGGACUCAUGAGAGACUGCCGGGGUUAACUCGGAGGAAGGUGGGGAUGACGUCAAAUCAUCAUGCCCUUUAUGCCCAGGGCUUCACACAUGCUACAAUGGUUAGUACAACGCGCAGCAAACCUGUGAGGGUGAGCGAAUCGCUGAAAGCUAAUCUCAGUUCGGAUUGGGGUCUGCAACUCGACCCCAUGAAGUCGGAGUCGCUAGUAAUCGCAGAUCAGCAAUGCUGCGGUGAAUACGUUCCCGGGCCUUGUACACACCGCCCGUC